Molecule: ribosomal RNA, 253 nt
Filed under: uncultured bacterium
Lineage: Bacteria
Description: partial 16S ribosomal RNA
Rfam family: Bacterial small subunit ribosomal RNA
Source: RNAcentral
UACGAAGGGGGCUAGCGUUGCUCGGAAUUACUGGGCGUAAAGCGCACGUAGGCGGCUUGUUAAGUCGGAGGUGAAAUCCUGGAGCUCAACUCCAGAACUGCCUUCGAUACUGGCGAGCUUGAGUUCGGGAGAGGUGAGUGGAACUGCGAGUGUAGAGGUGAGAUUCGUAGAUAUUCGCAAGAACACCAGUGGCGAAGGCGGCUCACUGGCCCGAUACUGACGCUGAGGUGCGAAAGCGUGGGGAGCAAACAGG